AACUUAUCUAGAGUCAGGGUAGGAACUGGUCCAGCGACCCUGCAGCAACCGCUUGUUUGAAGUAAGGUGCUAAGUCCAGCAGACUGACACGUCUGAGAGAUGAGAG
This 106-nucleotide non-coding RNA is filed under the name Terribacillus aidingensis. RNAcentral describes it as "SAM-I sequence". It matches the Rfam family "SAM riboswitch aptamer (S box leader)". Rfam says of the family: The SAM riboswitch is found upstream of a number of genes which code for proteins involved in methionine or cysteine biosynthesis in Gram-positive bacteria. The SAM riboswitch acts at the level of transcription termination control. Lineage: Bacteria; Bacillati; Bacillota; Bacilli; Caryophanales; Bacillaceae. The record is from Rfam by way of RNAcentral.